This 1728-nucleotide long non-coding RNA is filed under the name Mus musculus (house mouse). RNAcentral's name for it is "long non-coding RNA chr18:21626057-21627785". The record is from RNAcentral. Lineage: Eukaryota; Metazoa; Chordata; Mammalia; Rodentia; Muridae.
GGAAGGGAACAAGAGAAUUCUUUUAAUGAAACUCUGGUGGCUUUGGAUGCGUGGAGUGCAUUGAGCGUGCCUCGGUAGAAAAAGCACCUUCUGGAAAAAAGACACUCCUAGCCAUCAAUAGAGGGAGCUGUACCAAUAGAUAAAUGACCCACACAAUUAGCAGCUUGAAACACUCAUUUUUCCAUCCUUUGGAUGUAAGUCAACAAAAGUAAAAAACACACUGGCCCAACUGCUUCAAGGGAAACUGCACACUGACAUCUUCUGGACUGCUAGCUGGCACACACAAACAGAAGAGGUAACAAAGGUUCCCACCUGGUGUGAAUUUCAGUCAUCAGGGACUUAAGAGACAAAUGAAUAUCUGCAUCAAGCUUUUCUUUUUUUUUUAUUUGGAAGUAAUACACAUAUAAGUCCUGUGCUAUGCAAUUUUGUAAAUGCAUGGUCACAGAAUUGAUUAUGUGGGUUUUGAAUCUUUAAACUGUUAUUUGGGGUUCAAAUAAUCAAGCAUUCUAUUUGUGUAAGAGAAGUCAUGUUGAAAGCAGUUUGGUAUACGUAAAUUAGUGACAGUAGCCUAGUCAGUGGAAGUCACAAUUUUGUGACUGUCCUAAUGUAGUACAUGUAUACAUAAUGUAUACAUGCUGUCAGUCCGUCCAGGGGGGACCAAUCUCCACAUAACUGGUACGGAGGAAAGGGCACUAAGAAGUGGGGUUUGCUAACACAAAGUAAUAAGGCUAGCUUAUAUUUAUUUUUUUAAAGUACUGUUUUAAAAUACAUUGAAUAGAUGACCAAAAGAGAUACAUGCUUGGCUCAUGUAUGCUGUCAAAGUCAUCUUAUUCCCUGGCUAAGCCAGUUUCCCUGGACCAAUCUUGCUAAUGUUUUUCUACAGUGGUAUUUAUGUUCCUCAUUGAGGAUGAAAAGAAGGCCCAGAGUCUUUGUGGCAUCUAUUCACAAUGUCCAAAUGUUCUCAAGAACUGGACUUUCUUUCAACCCAGGGGGUCCUGAACAGUUUGUAAAUGGUAAAAGCCUCCAACCUUCUCAACAAUAACUGAAGGGCUGGCUGGCCAGCAACAUUGAAAGCCUCUACUUAAGUGAGAUAAACCUCCAAUGCAUCCAAAUCUCCAUGGGCAAUAUUGUGGCGAAUUGCACAGGAGGAAGAGAAUCCCCCUUUCCUUGGUUUUGUUUUCCACCAGAGGGUAGGACUUGCAGCUGACAUGGACAGCAUCCGUGCAGGAUGAGGACAUGUUUCAACCCUUUUGUACUGUUGUAUUUAUAUGGUUGCCUAUUCAAUCCAUUGCUAAAGCUUGUAACUCCAUUGUCCUACCCUAUAUCAACAACUGUUAAUACUAAACAAAACUUAAAACUCUGAUUUGUCAGUAUACAUGACAUACUUGAAAGAAAUUGUAUGAAACCUAACUCUUCAUACAAUGAAUAUACACAAUACGUAUCUUGUUAACUACAAAACUAAAAUUUGAGGAAUCUGUGCUAAUGAGCUGAAGGAAGUUUCAAUGAUUUAUUUUUCUAAAUAAUUCCAGCAGAACUUCCAAGCUCAGAAUUAGGCAAAAAUCUAGAAGUGUUGUCUUAUUGCAAGAGUUUGAACUCCUUAUUAGAGCAAGUUGGUACACAUUUUAAAAGCUCUUUCCAUUGCGUAGUCUUCAUUAACAUGUUCAGUUUAUGACAUUUAUUAUUUAAAAUAUUCCUUUCAUUGCUCUCUUUAGUAUCAUCAUCAGGACC